AUUGAACGCUGGCGGCAUGCUUUACACAUGCAAGUCGAACGGUAACAGGGUGCUUGCACCGCUGACGAGUGGCGAACGGGUGAGUAAUGCGUCGGAACGUGCCGAGUAGUGGGGGAUAACGCAGCGAAAGUUGUGCUAAUACCGCAUACGUACUGAGGUAGAAAGUGGGGGACCUUCGGGCCUCACGCUAUUCGAGCGGCCGACGUCUGAUUAGCUAGUAGGUGAGGUAAAGGCUCACCUAGGCGACGAUCAGUAGCGGGUCUGAGAGGAUGGUCCGCCACACUGGGACUGGGACACGGCCCAGACUCCUACGGGAGGAAGCAGUGGGGAAUUUUGGACAAUGGGCGAAAGCCUGAUCCAGCCAUGCCGCGUGUCUGAAGAAGGCCUUCGGGUUGUAAAGGACUUUUGUCAGGGAGGAAAUCCCUAGUGCUAAUAACACUGGGGGAUGACAGUACCUGAAGGAUAAGCACCGGCUAACUACGUGCCAGCCGCCGCGGUAA
This 500-nucleotide ribosomal RNA is filed under the name uncultured bacterium. RNAcentral's name for it is "partial 16S ribosomal RNA". It matches the Rfam family "Bacterial small subunit ribosomal RNA", at positions 30 to 523 of the family's 1533-position model. The record is from RNAcentral.